UAAUUGAACUUCACAUUCCAGGCCACUUUAUAUAAUAGAGAAACUAUAGCUUUUUAACAUUGCCUCGCAAGUGUUCGAUUUAAUGGCUCGUUGUUUUAUUGGAAUCUGCUGGUCAAUCUUUUGAUUUCUCUCUACUACCAGGUAUGAACAAUCUAAUUUUUGUGUACUUUGUAAACUUCGAUGUCCAGGAGUACUAAUUCAAUUUUUACUAGUUUAUUUAUUUAUUGUUUUUACACCAUUCUUCCACGACGUGAAAAAUAGGGAAAAUCUAGCAUCCAACAUUUGGCUACAUAUCCACUGAACCUAACCUAACAUCAUUCGGUCGAAAGAUGACUGAAAAAGGUAUUGGUUCACAUUGAUUCUUUAUUUCAUUGUGAUGAAUGGCUUAAUGAUGUCGCAUUUUUUGGAUGUAAGAUUUUAUUGUUUUGCAAUAGCAAAGAGAAUUUUUUUUUUUCAUUUUAGAUAUUAUGUCUGUAUAAUGUGAAGUUUGAAUAGCCAUUUAGAUUUAGGGGAUUUGUUCUGUAAUUUUCUCCAUACGUGAAAUUUGAAUUAGCGUUAGAUAAAUUAUGUUGUUGUUGUACAUUAUUUGAAAUUAUAAUUAAUUUGUUUGUUGCAGGGAAAGAAAUUUUGGAAUAUGUGGAUGACAUUAUACCGGUGGAGUCUGAUAAUGAGAAAGUUGUGAAAAAUACAAACAUACCGGGUGAUAAUAUGUUAGUUAGAGAUAGUGUGAUUGUGCCUGAGGUGGGUAUGAAAUUUAAGGAUGAAAAUGAAAUAUUCGAUUUUUACAAAAGAUAUGCAUACGAAAUUGGUUUUCCAAUCAGAAAAAGAAAUUCGAGAAAGGAUGAUGAUGGAGUAUGGAGAAAUAUUAUAUUUGUUUGUAGUUGUGAAGGAAAAAGAAUCAGAAAUACAAGCGGUUCUUUGAAGCCGCAAGCAACCAUUCAGAGUGGAUGUAAAGUCAAGAUCACAGCACCAGUUGAUAUUUGCGGAAUAUGGAGAAUUAACACAGUACACCUGGACCACAUUCAUAAGACAAGCCCUUCGAAGUCUAGGCUAUAUCGAUGCAACCGAGAGUUGAGUGGUCAUGUGAAACGAUGACUUGAAGUAAAUGACAUGCUGGAAUUCCAUUGCACAAGAGUUACAACUCUAUAGUUGUUGAAGCAUGUGGAUAUGAGAAUAUGACUUGCAUCGAAAAGGAUUGUCAAGACUAUGUUGAAAAAGUUAGGCGUUUAAGAUUUGGAGAAGGGAACGCAGCAGCAAUACAAUCAUACUUCUCUAAAACGUAAGCAUGGUACUCGGGCUUUUACUUUAGUAUGGAUUUGAAUGAUGAGUUGCGUCUAAAGAAUGUUUUCUAGACAGAUAAUAGUAGUAGGCAAAUGUAUAAGGAGUUCGAUGAUGUCGUCACAUUCGACACCACAUACCUCACUAACAAGUACGAUAUGCCAUUUGACCCUUUUGUUGGAGUGAACCAUCAUGGACAGUCGACACUUCUUGGAUGUGGUCUACUAUCGAAUGAGGAUACGAAGACAUUUGUAUAGUUGUUUCGGACCUGGUUACAAUGCAUGCACGGACAAGCUCCGCAUGAAAUAAUUACAGAUUAUGAUAGGGCUAUGAUACAAUCCAGAUCGUGUUCCCCAAUACAAAACAUAGAUGGUUUUUGUGGCAUAUAUUGAAGAAGUUGCCUAAGAAGUUUGGAUACCAUGUGCAUAAAGGUUCAAUAUUUACAACCAUUCACAAUUUGGUCUAUGAUUGUCAAUUUGUAGACGAAUUCGAGAAUGGCUAGAGAGUGAUGAUCGAAACGUUUAACUUGCAUGAUAAUGAGUGGUUGGCAGGUUUGUAUGAGAAUAGGGAACGUUGGGUACCUUGCUAUUUGAAAACCACAUUUUGGGCAGGAAUGUCAACAACUCAACGCAGUAAGAAUAUGAAUGCAUUCUUUAAUGGUCAUAUACAUUCGAAGACAAUGUUGAAGCAAUUUGUUGAACAAUAUGAACGAGCACUGAGGAGUAAGGUUGGGAAGGAGUUUCAAGCAGACUUCAAGUCCUUCUCGUAAAUGGUAUCAUGUGCAACGAGAUAUGAAAUGGAGAAGUAAUUCCAAGCUGUUUACACAAUUUCAAAAUUUAAAAAAGUUCAGAAGGAGUUCAUAGGUAAGGUUUAUUGCGACCUCAUAUUUGUCUCGGAGGGAUUAUUGAGGGAGACCUAUGAGAUACGAGAGGAUGUAAUACAUGACGAGCGCUCUAAGAAAAAACCUUUUUCGUCUCAUUUCAAAGAGACAAAUGUGAAAUCACUUGCAGUUGUCAUAAUUUUGAGUUUCGAGGGAUUAUUUGCAGGCAUAUGAUCGCCGUAUUGAUUCAUAAUGAUGUUAAAUUAGUAUCGAAACAAUAUAUACUACGGAGAUGGCGACGAGAUGUCAGUAGAGCCCACACAAGGGUAGCAGUGGACUAUGAUGGUUUAAUUAGUACUCCUGGACAAUUAAAGUACAACAAAAUGUGUCAACGGUUUGCUACAUUGGCCAGCAUGACUGCAGAUGAUUAACUCAAAUCUGAUGCCAUAAUUGAUUGGAUCGACAAUUAAUGUAAACAGAUGAUGACGUUGAGGUCAAGUAGUAGAAGUAGUAAUGUCAUGUCCCAGCAUAAUACUCAGAUAUCAUCCGACUAUGGAACAACAGAGGAUACUGGAAGUGAUAGCAUACGAGAUCCCAAAUGUGCGAAAAGAAAAGGUGCCCCUAAGAAACUUCGUAAGAAGAGCCCGCUAGAAUCGGGUUUGAACAAAGUUAAGGCAACUUCGAAUUCAACCAAAGGGAAGAAACCGAAGGUUUACACAAGUAAUAUGGGAAAUGUUGCAACCAUCUUUUAGUCUCCUCAACCAUUACAAAUACCGCUACCUUUCUCGUAUACAAACCUCCUUAUUGGUGGCAAUCAAAACCUUAAAUUCACACAACACUUGCAAUCCACAUGUAUCAACCCUCCAUCGUCAACAAGUCUUACAUUUAAUAUGCAAGUUUUGGGUAGAAGACAUGUAAAUGAUGCUGCUGGCAAUGACACACGACAGUUGGGAAUGAAUUUUGAUGGAGGAAGUUCAAAUGCUCACUAAUUACUAGCCCCAAGCAAGCUGGUCUUUUUGUAAAACUAGAAUAGCAUAUUCUGCAAUGCAUUUCGAUGUCAAACUGGUCUUUUUGUAAAGCUGGAAUAGCAUGUUGUUGGUGCGAGUAGAUUUCGAUUUCGAUGCAGUGCAAUGUUAAAAGUUAUUUUUAAUUUUGAAUGCUGUGAUGAAUUUGGACUUGGUUAGAUGAAUCUUUUUUUGUCAUCCUAUCAAACUUGAUAAUAAGUGAUGACAAAAUAGAGUUCUGGAAUAUAUUUGACUUUGUUUUCUGUAGCCUCAAUUGGUGUUUGUUUAUUUUAUUCCAUUCUUCCAACAACUCACAGGAAUGAGCGUGUUCAUGUUUUAUGCCCCGUUCCUGUUGAAAACCAUUGAUUUUGGAGCUAAUGCUUCCUUAUUUUCUUGAAGGUGGACUGCAAAUGUUAAUUUUCCGGGUACUGUACUUAAUUUACUUAUAUAUUUCAGCUUUUAAUUAUUUUAACUAAUCAUAUUUUACACGGUGCAGAUUAUUGUUACAGUUUGCAUUGGAAUUAAAUUUGGUCUAAAUGGAAAUCCUGGUGGAUUGCAACAUUGGUAUGCAACGUUGUGCGUUUAUGUCGCUGGAUUUGCUUGGUCUUGGGGACCUCUUAGUUGGUUGGUGCCAAGUGAAAUUUUGCCUCUUGAAGUCCGAUCGGCUAGAUAGAGCAUCAAUUUUUAAGUUAAUAUGGUCAAUGUUUUCUAUGUAUAACAGAUUGUUUUAUGUUGAUCAUUUGUUAAUUUCAACAUUUUUAGAUGGAAAGCCUUAACAGUCAAGCCCGUCACGAGAAAUUGUGAUGCUUUUUUGUUUUUUUA
This is a long non-coding RNA of Olea europaea var. sylvestris, 3924 nucleotides long. RefSeq lists it as uncharacterized. Lineage: Eukaryota; Viridiplantae; Streptophyta; Magnoliopsida; Lamiales; Oleaceae. The record is from RefSeq and is a predicted model, not a curated record. The transcript is spliced from 4 exons.